Cinara cedri is the source of this 251-nucleotide non-coding RNA. NCBI's taxonomy places the organism in Eukaryota, Metazoa, Arthropoda, Insecta, Hemiptera, Aphididae. The record is from the annotation of a GenBank genome assembly.
CAAAACCUUUCACGUGUAUGUUGUCAAUUCUUUACAUUUCAAAAAGGUAAAAGUAUUAGUUUAGUUUUGGACAUUUGAAAAAUAUUGCAUAUAUCAGCAGGCCAAGAUUAGGGGAGAUAUGAGAGGGGUCCCAAAAAAACCAUAUUACUAUUUUAAUUAAAUAUUUGAGAAACUUUUUUAUCUUGCCUAUUUAUUUUUUAUAUGGUCCCCAGUCCUCCACAGCUCAUUAUCCGGGUCUCAUUACCGAUAUG